CCUACGGGGGGCUGCAGUGGGGAAUAUUGCACAAUGGGCGCAAGCCUGAUGCAGCCAUGCCGCGUGUGUGAAGAAGGCCUUCGGGUUGUAAAGCACUUUCAGCGGGGAGGAAGGCGUUAAGGUUAAUAACCUUGGCGAUUGACGUUACCCGCAGAAGAAGCACCGGCUAACUCCGUGCCAGCAGCCGCGGUAAUACGGAGGGUGCAAGCGUUAAUCGGAAUUACUGGGCGUAAAGCGCACGCAGGCGGUCUGUCAAGUCGGAUGUGAAAUCCCUGGGCUCAACCUGGGAACUGCAUUCGAAACUGGCAGGCUAGAGUCUUGUAGAGGGGGGUAGAAUUCCAGGUGUAGCGGUGAAAUGCGUAGAGAUCUGGAGGAAUACCGGUGGCGAAGGCGGCCCCCUGGACAAAGACUGACGCUCAGGUGCGAAAGCGUGGGGAGCAAACAGGAUUAGAUACCCGUGUAGUC
Molecule: ribosomal RNA, 465 nt
Filed under: uncultured Klebsiella sp.
Lineage: Bacteria; Pseudomonadati; Pseudomonadota; Gammaproteobacteria; Enterobacterales; Enterobacteriaceae
Description: bacterial SSU rRNA
Rfam family: Bacterial small subunit ribosomal RNA
Source: RNAcentral